This 427-nucleotide ribosomal RNA is filed under the name uncultured bacterium. RNAcentral describes it as "bacterial SSU rRNA". It matches the Rfam family "Bacterial small subunit ribosomal RNA", at positions 355 to 774 of the family's 1533-position model. The record is from RNAcentral.
UGGGGAAUUUUGGACAAUGGGGGCAACCCUGAUCCAGCCAUCCCGCGUGUGCGAUGAAGGCCUUCGGGUUGUAAAGCACUUUUGGCAGGGAAGAAACAGCCUGGGCUAAUAUCCCGGGCGACUGACGGUACCUGCAGAAUAAGCACCGGCUAACUACGUGCCAGCAGCCGCGGUAAUACGUAGGGUGCAAGCGUUGAUCGGAAUUACUGGGCGUAAAGCGUGCGCAGGCGGUUCGGAAAGAAAGGUGUGAAAUCCCAGGGCUUAACCUUGGAACUGCACUUUUAACUACCGGGCUAGAGUACGUCAGAGGGGGGUAGAAUUCCACGUGUAGCAGUGAAAUGCGUAGAGAUGUGGAGGAAUACCGAUGGCGAAGGCAGCCCCCUGGGAUGAUACUGACGCUCAUGCACGAAAGCGUGGGGAGCAAACA